GUUAGCGUCGCGCAAACAUACUUUGCGUGACGAAAUGUGCUGCGUCGCGCAAGUUUCCGUCGCGCAAACAUGUUUUUGUACUAGUGGUGGUGCUGGUUAAGCCUCACAAUGAGUUCGUAAUAAUAUGGUCCAACUUUAUUUUUUACGAGAAUCGAACAUAACUCUUCUCACUUACAAGUGAAAAGAAAUACUAUUAAGUCGUAGGCACAUGUCUAGUUCAAAAGACGAUCGUUUGAGGUUUUAUCGUAAAACGCAUUGAUACUCAACUUUUGAUCUAACAAACAACAUCAUGAUCUUACUUCUUAAAGUUAUAUAGUUUCCUUCAACAAAUCCAAAAUAUUCCUAUGUAAAUUGCCUGUCAAUAAUAGAUCAAGCUCGGUCUACAUCAGAAUACCUCAACGAACAAACAUCGUCUCAUAGAGGAACAUGUUUUGAAAACAUCUGUCUUUCUCCAUACAAGAGUUCAAGGUUUAAAUGUGAUAGGAAAUCAAUAAAAAAAUGAGUUAGGAAAUAAUAUACAACAAAGAUUAAGGAGCCAAUGAAGACUUUUUUUUUGAAUACUUUGGAUGCGAUCCCUAAUUCUUAACAUUCUUUGACUAAAACCUUAAUAGUAUUCAAAGUUUGAUCAAAGUCCCUUGACUUUGUACACCUCAUUAUAUUACAAUUAAUAUUUAUAUUUUUAUAGUUUUGACAUUAAUUGUUUGAUAUUUUAUGAGAUUUAUCAUCCUAUAAAUUUAAAAUCCCCCAUUAUAAUACUAUUAGAAACGGUUACAAUAAAAAA
Molecule: long non-coding RNA, 781 nt
Filed under: Malus domestica (apple)
Lineage: Eukaryota; Viridiplantae; Streptophyta; Magnoliopsida; Rosales; Rosaceae
Description: long non-coding RNA (MDOM_LNC018250)
Source: RNAcentral